AUACUUACCUGGCAGGAGAGAUACCAUGAUCAUGAAGGUGGUUUUCCCAGGGUGAGGCUUAUCCAUUGCACUCCAGAUGUGCUGACCCCUGCACAAAUGUGGGAAACUCGACUGCAUAAUUUAUGGUAGUGGGGGACUGCAUUCAUGCUUUCCCCUU
Molecule: small nuclear RNA, 157 nt
Organism: Otolemur garnettii (small-eared galago)
Lineage: Eukaryota; Metazoa; Chordata; Mammalia; Primates; Galagidae
Gene: U1
Rfam family: U1 spliceosomal RNA
About the family: U1 is a small nuclear RNA (snRNA) component of the spliceosome (involved in pre-mRNA splicing). Its 5' end forms complementary base pairs with the 5' splice junction, thus defining the 5' donor site of an intron. There are significant differences in sequence and secondary structure between metazoan and yeast U1 snRNAs, the latter being much longer (568 nucleotides as compared to 164 nucleotides in human).
Source: Ensembl